AUGACAAUCGCAGAAUGUCAUUACAAUACACAUAGGUUUAUUAUAACAGAUGUCUCUUUCUAUUCAUUAAAUUGCAGGUGCACAGUGCACUGUUGGGGUUUGGAUGCUAAAAUGAUUUUGUGAGUUGACGAAUGUUUCAAGUUUCAAGUUUCAAUGUGCGCGGGUUGCCUACAGGAGCGCCUUUGUUAAGUGAUUGUUUGACAAUCAGAUGAAAACAUCAUGACUGGUUGUGUUUAUGCCACAUUAAAAGACAUAGGCGGCAUGUCCAUAAGGUUAGAGGAAGCUUUCCCUAAAGUAAAUUGAAUUGCCAAAAUGAUAUAGCCUAAUUAGCUUACUCCUGUCUAUACAGAAAUAAAUAAAAUAAUUCAACAUAGGCUACUACACAAGAAAGCAUGAGUUGGCCACAGAGGAUCAUUAGCUUCUAAAGAAAAAGCUGUGGAUUGUUUUAAAUCGCAUAGCCUACAGUCGGAAGGGCCCGCAAUUUGGGCAGUGCGCACUGCAAAUGCCAAAUAGAUUGUUGAGUUGUGACUGUCAGUGAAAAGCAGAGAGACCCAGCCAGGCAUAUCACACUAUUUAAAAAUACAAUUGUGGAAAAACUGUAUGGAAAGCAAAUGGCUAUUGCUGUAAAGAGAUGACAAUGAAUAUACUCAAAUGUGUCUUUUUGUUAUAAAAAUUCUUACCUUAAUUGAGUGAACAGUAGCCUAUUAUUGGCACCAGCAGUGAACAUCGGCCAUCGGUGAUUGUGCAUAUUCAAUGUCUUUAUCAUUGGGUCAGCGCCACUUUUGUUUGUUUUUGGACAAUCAUUUCCUCCUCCAGGUUAGAUGGACGUCACAUUGUAUUUGUGUCUCCCCUUUUCAUAGGCCAAUUAUAUGGAUCAGACAACAUCGUUUUUAUUGAUCUGUUUUUCAGUGUCAGCAGAGUAGGCUACCCUGUAAUUUUUAUAGUAUAAAAAAAAAUGCAUGCGCUCACUUGGGUGUCCCGUACCAGUAAAAAAUGUAAUCUAUUUUCACCCCUGGCUAGAUGGCUCCACUAAUGCCUAAUUUGGCCCCACUAAUGCCUCAUUUGGCCUCAGACUUAAAUUAAAAAAGCAUCACAGGGCUCUACGCUGAAUUUUUUUACAAGAUGUGCUCCUAAGUAAAAAUGUAGGAGCACACAUAGACAUUUAGGAGCACAAUGAAACCUUUUAUUCAUCAACUGUUAGUCAUUUCUUAUCAUAAAAACAUUUCCUCGCACUCGCAUGUCUCUCUUUCUUUCUGCCUGUGUGCUUCUAAAAAUGAAUCUUUCAGCACUUCACUCAGUGCGCACAGCCCCCCAGGCACUGUUGCUUCUCGAGGUGGGCUAUAUGGGAUUCAUAGAUAUUUUUGUGAUUAGCUACAUCUAUGAUACAAAACAGCAGAAAACAAAAUACUUUUAAAAUAGUUACGGCAGAAAUGUUUUGCUAUAAAUCACAACUCGAACGUGCUCCUACUUGACUUUCAGUUCGAAUUUCUAUUUGUAGGCGCAUAUGCAAGUAAAAUGGUCGCACUGUAGAGCCCUGCAUCACAUCUGUUAGCUGUAAGUGCUCAGUAAAUAUUUUAGAAGAAAAAAAAAGAUGCAAAUAACUGUAAAGAUCUCUGCACACAUCUAAGUGCAGUACACCAUCUCAACUUCCAGUUACUUCCUUAUGCUGUCAGGAUGGCUGUUGUAGGUAUUAUCUAUCAUGUAGUUUGACGAUAUGAAACAGUAACUGAUUACUUUUUUUCUAUUCUUCUUUAAGGCACUGCAUCAUAUACCAGCAGAACCUGUUGGACCAACACCAGACUGUUGUGGCAUCAUUUCCCAACAUCUGAGACAAAGACAAUUGGCGUCUUCAUUAGUGGAACAGUUCCCUUGCCUCAAGGAUUCAGAGGGUAAAGGCUGUAAGUUACUGUAGGUUUUAAUUUUGAAACUCACUGCAUUAUCUAUCAUGCACGGAAUCGGCUAUGUCCACCGAAAUUGAGUCCUUGGAGGUGUAAUACUUUUUUAUUGGUAUUACCAAAUCCUAGCCAUAUUGAACACAAAGGGUCUUUAAAAAAAAAAAACAGACUUUUAUCUUCAAGGAUGCUUGGUACAGCCAAGGAUGACGCCUCUGUCCUUCUACUGGUUUCCAAGAGGAAUGCCUCAACUCUACAGCUGCAGCCGCCGAAGAUAACAGACCAAGCAUGUCUUGCCUGCCCAUAAUAGGGUCAGAUGUGUCCCCUAAAGGAGACGGCCACCUAGAGGGCAAAGUGGAUACAUGAAAACGGGUCCAAGACCAUGGAGGAAAUCUCCAAUCACGGUUUCUGGAUACUCCAGGCAUGGUAGCUCAUAGUAAGCACCCCAGCAACAAGGUUAAAGUCAAAUCCGUUUCCAAACAUGAUUUAAAGUAUACUCAUCAGGGUUUGGGUCAAUUCCAUUUCGAUUCCAGUCAGUUUAGAAAGAAACCCAAUUCCAAAUUGUUGUCAUUAAAAGCAUUGAAGAGCAUUGGAAUUUCAGUGUGCUUCCUGAAUUGUCUUGAUUUGGAAUUGACCCCAACCCUGAUACUCAUACUUGUCAGUAGGUAGAAUUAAAUGUAUGAUUUAAUUAUAACUUCUAUUCUUGUGCCAGUAUCAUUGAUGUACAAAAUGAUGUGCAGUACAGCUUAGAUUUUGCCAUUGAAAGUGCUACCUUUCAAUCUACCCUUCUAAUCUAAAUGAUAAACAAAUUCAUAGGUUUGUUUGUCUACCUGUUCUCCAAAUUGCUCCAGAUUUUGAUUGACUCAACUUUGGAUGUUCAACAAAGCUGACCGAAAACUGGGUGCCAGUUUUCACCGAGAAUUUACUGCGUCUGGCCCGCAAGGAAAUUCAUGCUGAGAUCCUGCUGUCAGAGCUGGAGGCAGACGUGAUUACCGCAGAUAAAAAAGGGCGACAUGGCCUCUGCUCCCACCACCAGUGUACCAAGGUGGGAGAAAGAAUGUCCGCUCAAACAUCCUUGAGGCCAGAAAAUCAUUAAUUUACCUACAGGCUACAGGUUGGAGCCAACAUGGCUGAAUACCUCUGCCGGGUGGCGAAGAGACCCGACUCCUCUGGAGGUGCAGGUGUAAAGGGACCUCGGACUGGUGCUAAAGUAUGCACCGGACAGAUGCGGGAGUGGAGGACGGCCACAAAAAUGAUUUCUUGUUAUGCUAUUAGACCUAGAAAUUGUAUUUCUUUAUUGAUGUGAUUUUACACAAAAUAAAUGUUCAACAGUUAUUGUUAAUAGGACCCUAGGAUAUUUUGCCUACUGUAUUUUAAAUAUUGUGAUAUAGUGGUGUAAAGUACUAUACAUAUGGAUUGAUUUGCAGUGACCAUUGCUGCUGUGAGAGGCAUGUCAUAUUGACGUCUAAAAAAUACAAUUUGGUGAAAACACACCACUGGUGGGAAAAUGCACAUAUUUUCUAUAUGCGGAUUCUAGAGUAUUCACAUGAAAAUCUUUUGCCGAUUGGAUGGAAACCUAGCUAUAGAUACGCUCUGAGUAAUGUGAUUUGCUUCCUUACCGAUAAUUGCCCCACGUGUCGAACAAACAUGUUAUGAUGAUGAAAAUGUGUCAAACUUUAGGAACACCUUCCUAAUAUUGAGUUGUUUGUGUUACAGAAUGAAUUUCUUAUUGAUUAAAAUGAGAUUUUUUGUCACUGGCCUACCCACAAUACAGCAUAAUGUCGAAGUGAAUGUUUUUCUGAAUUUUUACAAAUUAAUUACAAUUGAAAAGCUGAAAUGUCUUGAGUAAAUAAUUAGUCAACCCCUUUAUAAUGUCAAGCCUAAAUAAGUUUAGGAGUAAAAGGUUGCUUAACAAGUCA
This is a long non-coding RNA of Coregonus clupeaformis (lake whitefish), 3811 nucleotides long. RefSeq lists it as uncharacterized. The record is from RefSeq and is a predicted model, not a curated record. NCBI's taxonomy places the organism in Eukaryota, Metazoa, Chordata, Actinopteri, Salmoniformes, Salmonidae. The transcript has 5 exons.